Molecule: long non-coding RNA, 275 nt
Organism: Hippocampus comes (tiger tail seahorse)
Lineage: Eukaryota; Metazoa; Chordata; Actinopteri; Syngnathiformes; Syngnathidae
Exons: 3
Source: RefSeq, a predicted model, not a curated record
GUUUAAUCUUGUGUAUUGUGUUUACAGACCACCGGCGUCCCCAUCCGGGCAUGCAAGCGCGCUCAGCUCAACAUCAUCCUGAAGAGAGUGACGGGCUUCCCUGACACCAAGUUCCUCAACGAGACCAUUUUCCCCAUCAUGUACGUCAAUGAGACGGCCACGGUUGACGACGACUCUGCCUCCCAGAUGAGGACGCUGCUGCUAAUCGUUACCGUGGUGUCCAACUUCCCCUUGCUUAUCGUGGGCAUGGGCCUCAUCCUGCUGCUGGUCCUGGU